Molecule: non-coding RNA, 74 nt
Organism: Rhizobiales bacterium TMED94
Lineage: Bacteria; Pseudomonadati; Pseudomonadota; Alphaproteobacteria; Hyphomicrobiales
Source: Rfam
GGUCCCUUAGCUCAGCUGGAUAGAGCACUGGUCUUCGAAACCAGGUGUCAGAGGUUCGAAUCCUCUAGGGACCG